Long non-coding RNA from Planococcus citri (citrus mealybug), 2105 nucleotides. RefSeq lists it as uncharacterized. The record is from RefSeq and is a predicted model, not a curated record. NCBI's taxonomy places the organism in Eukaryota, Metazoa, Arthropoda, Insecta, Hemiptera, Pseudococcidae. The transcript has 2 exons.
CUCCAAACUUGAACGAUAAAUCGAUCAAAAUCGAUAAAUCUGACUCACAACAAUAUUAAACUUGCCUAACAUUCGACUAAACGAAAACAAACUUCAACAAAAAAUAAAUAAAUAUUUAUUGUUAACGGUCAUUGACCUAACGAUCAAUAAACCAGACAAAUGAGACUGAGCAAAAAGCUCGAUGACUUUACUUUACGACGACAAGAAUAAUAUUAACGCGAACUAACUUAGUAACUAACGAAAACAACGAAAAAACAACGAUAAUUUAACAGCCAACAGUUUACGCGAUUUUACGAAAAGAACAAAAAAACCAUUUUAUACGUAACCAACAAUAUAUAUAUCGCGAAACUGAAAUUCUUUUUUAAUAAAAAAUAAAAACUUAAAAGUUACCGAACAUAGUUCGUUACGGUUACGAUUCCAAUUUUGCCAACACCCCACCAUAAAAAUAUUUUCCCUAACACGCGUACCACUUAAAUAAACGUGAAACUUGUUGCUUCUUAUCAAUACCGGUGUUAGUAAACACUUUGAAACAAAAUAUUUUUACAGCAAAAUUUCAGUUAAAUUAUACUUAAAUUACAUAAAAAACAACUCGAAAACUUAAUUUAAGCAUUAAACAAUGACUCACAGAGUCUAUCGAAUAUGGUACGUGUCGUGGCUUUGGUUAAAAUAUCGGCAAGUUGAUCCGCCGAAGAUAUCUUUUGCAAGUAAAUGAUCUGUUUUGUGACUAAAUCGCGUAUAUGAUGAUAACAGACAUCUAUAUGUCUGGUACGUUUGGAUUCGACCAUGUUCGCUACAGCAAUCGCUGCGUUCGAAUCACAGUACACCGGUACGGUAUCUAUACGAACUUCCAAUUCAAGAAAUAAAUUUCGCCAAGCCAAAACUUCCUUACCAGAUGAACUUAAAGCAACGUACUCCGCUUCACACGACGAAAGACUAACACAAUUUUGUUUCUUGACUACCCAGUCAAUUACGUUACCAUAAUGUAACACAAAAAUUCCAGACGUUGACUUCCUGUCUAAACAAUCACCAGCGAAGUCCGAAUCUACGUAUACUCUUACAGAGUAUUUAUCAACGACUUCAGGUAUUACGUAGGUAAGUUUCACGUUCAACGUACUACGUAAAUACCUGAGAAUACGCUUACUAUAUUCGAAUAGCUCCUUGUUUGCCAAGUGCUGGUAUCUGCUUAGAAAGUUUACAGCAAAAGCGAUAUCAGGACGUGUUCCCCUUGCUAUGUAACUUAAACUUCCUAAGAGACCACGCACUUUGGUUUCAUAACUUUUAUCGAGCUUGAGAUUGGUAAUCUUCAAGCCCGGUUCGAUUGGAGUUGAGAUACUAUUCGAAUUAGAUAAACCGUAAUCAUUAACUAACUGCUCGAUAUAUGAAUUUUGAUGUAUUUCUAAUUUUUCUUUACUACGAUUAAUUUCCAUUCCAAUGAACUUCUUGCAUUGUUCCAGGUCUCUGAUUCCAAAACGCUCAUUCAAUCGCUUGACCAACCACUCAAUUAGACGAUCAUCGCAACCUGUAAUUAGAAAAUCGUCUACGUAAACGACAAACACGCAACGUAGAGGAUUUUCGGCAUCGAAGUAGACACACGGAUCAACUUUGCUCCUUACGAAACCGAGCGAAAAUGCUGAAUACCAAACGUCUUUGAUCUCCAUCGCCUUUAACUCUUCAUCUAUCGCUACACGCCAAAAUUUCGACUCAGGACCGUUUAACGCUUCUUCAUACGUAAGGUCAUCGACCCCAGCGAGUGCAAAGCAAGCAAAAUCGUCGCUACGUUCAUCCGAAGAUGAUGUAUCGAUUAAACUACGAUCUACUAAAUUAUCACCGCUACGUUCAGCUUCAGUCAGCUCAUCUGGGUUUAUCCAAUUGGAGCAACCAGGAGCUGAAUCAACGUUACUUACUGGUGUAACCGUAGGUACGAUAUUCACAUCGCUUACACUCACUGAUACCGAUGUUUUUAACAAAUGAUCGUUAAUAACAUCGUGUAUCUUACGCGUUUCGUCUACUUCUACGCAACUCGAAUUCGUAAAUUUAUUUCGUAAAACAUCGUACAAUACAUAACCUGUCUCUGUAAAACCGAGUAAAACCAUAUCGAUCGACUU